CAGUCGACGACUCUGGUAUUGAUUGGUGCUUGCAUCAUGAUUUACAUUUGAGUGAGUGGCGAACUGGUGAGUAACACGUGGGAAACCUGCCCAGAAGCGGGGGAUAACACCUGGAAACAGAUGCUAAUACCGCAUAACAACUUGGACCGCAUGGUCCGAGUUUGAAAGAUGGCUUCGGCUAUCACUUUUGGAUGGUCCCGCGGCGUAUUAGCUAGAUGGUGGGGUAACGGCUCACCAUGGCAAUGAUACGUAGCCGACCUGAGAGGGUAAUCGGCCACAUUGGGACUGAGACACGGCCCAAACUCCUACGGGAGGCAGCAGUAGGGAAUCUUCCACAAUGGACGAAAGUCUGAUGGAGCAACGCCGCGUGAGUGAAGAAGGGUUUCGGCUCGUAAAACUCUGUUGUUAAAGAAGAACAUAUCUGAGAGUAACUGUUCAGGUAUUGACGGUAUUUAACCAGAAAGCCACGGCUAACUACGUGCCAGCAGCCGCGGUAAUACGUAGGUGGCAAGCGUUGUCCGGAUUUAUUGGGCGUAAAGCGAGCGCAGGCGGUUUUUUAAGUCUGAUGUGAAAGCCUUCGGCUCAACCGAAGAAGUGCAUCGGAAACUGGGAAACUUGAGUGCAGAAGAGGACAGUGGAACUCCAUGUGUAGCGGUGAAAUGCGUAGAUAUAUGGAAGAACACCAGUGGCGAAGGCGGCUGUCUGGUCUGUAACUGACGCUGAGGCUCGAAAGUAUGGGUAGCAAACAGGAUUAGAUACCCUGGUAGUCCAUACCGUAAACGAUGAAUGCUAAGUGUUGGAGGGUUUCCGCCCUUCAGUGCUGCAGCUAACGCAUUAAGCAUUCCGCCUGGGGAGUACGGCCGCAAGGCUGAAACUCAAAGGA
RNAcentral lists this ribosomal RNA (883 nucleotides) under Lactiplantibacillus plantarum. Its description in RNAcentral is "bacterial SSU rRNA". It matches the Rfam family "Bacterial small subunit ribosomal RNA", at positions 59 to 908 of the family's 1533-position model. Lineage: Bacteria; Bacillati; Bacillota; Bacilli; Lactobacillales; Lactobacillaceae. The record is from RNAcentral.